Long non-coding RNA from Molossus molossus (Pallas's mastiff bat), 368 nucleotides. RefSeq lists it as uncharacterized. The transcript has 3 exons. The record is from RefSeq and is a predicted model, not a curated record. Lineage: Eukaryota; Metazoa; Chordata; Mammalia; Chiroptera; Molossidae.
AAAUCCAGCACUUAUGCUUCUGAAACUCCAACCAGCAAAUGGAAGCCACAGCUCUUCUCUUUGGACCACGGGAGUGAAGACAAGAAAAUAAAGUAACUGCAGAGAAAAUGUGGACAUGAUGGCUGAAUCCUGAGAGAAAGAUCACGGGAAAUUGCAAGACUUCAGCUCUGAAAUCUUGGAGUCCCUGAACCAACACCAGUGACUACCUACCUCUGGGCUUCUUGGGCAAGAGGUAUCUGGGACAUCAACAGACCUUUUACUUCCCUCCUCCUGUUCAAAUCUCGUCAGCUACAUUUUAUCCUCAUUACCCCAAUUCCCUAUACACUGAAAAUGCCAGCAACACCUUGAAGACUUGAAAGAGAUAGAAA